This 560-nucleotide ribosomal RNA is filed under the name Micromonospora aurantiaca (nom. illeg.). RNAcentral's name for it is "bacterial SSU rRNA". It matches the Rfam family "Bacterial small subunit ribosomal RNA", at positions 100 to 675 of the family's 1533-position model. The record is from RNAcentral. Lineage: Bacteria; Bacillati; Actinomycetota; Actinomycetes; Micromonosporales; Micromonosporaceae.
GAACGGGUGAGUAACACGUGAGCAACCUGCCCCAGGCUUUGGGAUAACCCCGGGAAACCGGGGCUAAUACCGAAUAUGACCUCUGACCGCAUGGUUGGUGGUGGAAAGUUUUUCGGCUUGGGAUGGGCUCGCGGCCUAUCAGCUUGUUGGUGGGGUGAUGGCCUACCAAGGCGACGACGGGUAGCCGGCCUGAGAGGGCGACCGGCCACACUGGGACUGAGACACGGCCCAGACUCCUACGGGAGGCAGCAGUGGGGAAUAUUGCACAAUGGGCGGAAGCCUGAUGCAGCGACGCCGCGUGAGGGAUGACGGCCUUCGGGUUGUAAACCUCUUUCAGCAGGGACGAAGCGUAAGUGACGGUACCUGCAGAAGAAGCGCCGGCCAACUACGUGCCAGCAGCCGCGGUAAGACGUAGGGCGCGAGCGUUGUCCGGAUUUAUUGGGCGUAAAGAGCUCGUAGGCGGCUUGUCGCGUCGACCGUGAAAACUUGGGGCUCAACCCCAAGCCUGCGGUCGAUACGGGCAGGCUAGAGUUCGGUAGGGGAGACUGGAAUUCCUGGUG